RNAcentral lists this ribosomal RNA (214 nucleotides) under uncultured bacterium. Its description in RNAcentral is "partial 16S ribosomal RNA". It matches the Rfam family "Bacterial small subunit ribosomal RNA", at positions 524 to 740 of the family's 1533-position model. The record is from RNAcentral.
UACGUAGGGUGCAAGCGUUAAUCGGAAUUACUGGGCGUAAAGCGUGCGCAGGCGGUUUGUAAGUCUGACGUGAAAUCCCCGGGCUCAACCUGGGAAUUGCGUUGGAGACUGCAAGGCUGGAGUCUGGCAGAGGGGUGAGAAUUCCACGUGUAGCAGUGAAAUGCGUAGAGAUGUGGAGGAACACCGAUGGCGAAGGCAGCCCCUGGGUCAAGAC